GGGCACAAAAAAGUUUAAUAAUAGUAAAUGUACUAACUUUUAAGAAGUUCUCGUGCCCAACACACUUGAAUCAGAAACAUCUUCCAAGUUCCACCGAAUGUUAAGCUCUGCUACUUGCCAUUCAGCUACUUCUCCCAUGGAUUACUCUCCAGAAACAUUCAAAGAUUUUGCGACGUUGUUGAGGAAUUACAUCCACCAAUGAAAAUGUUAGUCCCCAUCUGGAAAGCUUUGUGUGUUGCUGUCAACAUUACAGAAAGCUGAGGUAUAUUUACAGAAGAUGUGGAUGAUGUUGAAAACUUGAAAUCAUGCGCAGAAAAGGACAGUGAGGCUGGAUGGCUUCUGCUGGCCCAUGUCAGGAAGAGUAAUGGAAUAGGAAAUGAUGGAAUAACAUUGCAUCUGUGUUUGUUAUUACAGUCAGAAAGAAUGGAAGGGUAGAUUCUCUGCAAAUGAGGUAAGAAUUAUUUUGAAGUAUUUCUAAUCUCAGGGAGAUUAUUCUUGAAUUCCUGAACAAUGGAAAAGACUAAGACUUUUGGAGUUCUUUGCUUUUAGCUUCUUGUAUGUGCCCAGCGCACUGCGGUGACUGCGGUCUGCACACCCUUUGUUAAUGAAGACCUUAUUUACCAAUUAAAACAAUGUUUGCUGUUCUUGAA
Long non-coding RNA from Malania oleifera, 650 nucleotides. RefSeq lists it as uncharacterized. NCBI's taxonomy places the organism in Eukaryota, Viridiplantae, Streptophyta, Magnoliopsida, Santalales, Ximeniaceae. The transcript is spliced from 3 exons. The record is from RefSeq and is a predicted model, not a curated record.